AGAAUGGCAUUGAUUUUGACGUAAUUGGGUAACUAACAUUUAAGGCCCAUUUGAUCCGGUAAUACCCUUGGUUGGUGCAAGUAACCGGUGAAAGAUAGAAAGUUAGAUGACGUAAACAAAUUGAGGUAUGGCUAAUAUUUAAAUCACAUCUGAGUGAAUAUAAGGAACCACGUCACAUAUUUAUGACCACAUACAUAUGUUUCAGUGUUCUAUUCCACAUCACCGAAAUAAAACAGAUUUCUAACCUCACUCACAUACUCUAAUACUAAACAUUAUCCCAAAUCUAACCCAUAUAUACUAAACAUUAUCCAAAUCCCACCCCAACCCCUUAAUACUAAACCCUAAACCUUAAUCAAUAAACCCUAAACUCAAAUACAUAACUCUAAACCCAAAUAUAAAUUCUAAACCCAAAUAUAAAUUCUAAACCCAAAUAGAAUGAAACAAAAUAAAUAAUAUGGUAUAUAUUGGUAAAAUUAUGAAAUGUCUAUAAUUUCGUAGAAGAAGUUGAUGUUGAUCCCAACUAUACCUCCUCAUCUUCUAAAUACUAAACCCUAAACUAUAUUCACUAAUCCCUAAACUCAAAUAUAAACCAUAAACCCAAAUAGAAUGUAACAAAAUAAAUAGCAUGGUAUAUAUUGGUGAAAUUAUGAAAUAUCUAUGAUUUCAUGGAAAAGGUUAAUGUGACCCAACUGUACCCAACUAUACCUUAAACUUUAAUCCCUAAACCCUAAAUAUAAACCCUACACGGAAAUAUAAACCCUAAUCCAAUGUCAACCCCAAUAUUUCAUAAACUAAACCCGAAUGGAACAAAAUGAUGAAAUAUCUAUGAUUUCAUGUAAGAAGUUAAUGCUGAUCCCCCAACCAUAUCCCAUCACCUUCUAAAUACUAAACCCUAAAUUAUAUUCACUAAACUCUAAACUAAAAUAUAAACCCUAAACCCAAAUAUCAAAGUCUAAAAAAUUACAUAUAUUAUGUAAAAUUAAAUUAUAUUAUGUAAUAUUAAACUACACAAUCUAGAUCAUAGCACGAUAUUUACUUGUUCAAAAACUAUAUUUCUUAACAAAAUAAAACACUCUUUAGUAAUCAUCAAAUGGAAUGGAACAUGAUAAAAUAGAAGAGUAGCAGAAUAUAUCGCAUUUCAUAACAGGAAUAGAACAAACAUAACACAUAUUGUUUUACAUUUCUAUUCCAUAUGCGAAUAGAAUAGAACAAACAUAACACAUAUUGUUUUACAUUUCUAUUCCAUAUGAGAAUAGAAUAGAACAAAAUAAACAGACACUGUUUAUCUUCUCCGAUCAACUUCAUCCACGGCGAAAAAAUGUAAUUGUAUCUCGCAACAUCAGUGGAGAUAAUACAUAUAACCGUAUGAGAGAGACAGAUUUUGUUGUUGAUACAGUAAAUAGAAGAGUUAGGGUAAUUGGCUACUCAAUCAAUUAUGCUUUUUUGUAGCGUCAUCUCACCUAAUUUCCCAAAGAAAUAACACAUAUUAUUUGAUAUAAAAGGUCAACUGUUUCAAACUUAGCUCUUGCAUUUGCUUUUGUGUUUACUGUUAUAACAAAACAAAUCUAUUUUCUGAAUGUAAACAAAAAUUGUAUGAUGAAAACUAAAUUUGUAUAUAUUCUAAUUACAGUAGCUAGACCAGUGGUUCUCCAGUAAUUGACUUCUUCUCACAAAUAGUUUGUUUUUGUGAUUCAUCAAAAUUGUUUAGACAAAGAAAAAUUCAAGUGAACGACCAUGAAUCUCUCUUUUGUAUUGUUGUGAUGGUUUUUUUCUGUUCUUGUAACCUUCCUUAACCUAUUUUUAGGCUUUGUGAAAAAUGUAUAUAUACCCUUCAAAAUCCUCAAUCAAAACUCGCACUUCCUUCAUAUUCAUUUCUUUUUAGUUUUUUUUUUUCAUUUUUUCUUUACCUUGCCAUCAAAACAACCAUGGCAAGGAUCUCUCUGUUGUUAUUUAUAGCCGUGGUUCUAGCCAUUGGCUCCGUCUCAGCUCACCCACCUAAGAAAAUCAAAAAGAACUUAUGUCCACCUACAUUGUCCCAACUCCAAACUUUCCCCUCCAUCGAAAUCUCUAAGCUCAUCGAAAAGAAGAUCAAAUCCGCACCCAACACACCUCAGUUCAGCACUUUGUUCGCCAUCUGCAAAGGCUACAGCGACUACCUCGCUGUUUUCAAGGUUAAAGCCGUCAAGAGUGCGUUUGGUUCUAUUCAUACCAAAUUCGUUAUGAUGACUGAGGCGAUGUUUGCGGCUCAAGCAGCUGUUGGUGUUGAAGGUGAGCUUGCGUCUGGGGUGCGGAAGAGCUACAAGGUGAUGGCUGAUGGGUUUGUUGAGCUUGAGCAGAUGAUUGCUGAGAUCUCGGCCAAGUAUAAUUUCGAUGCUAAUGCUCAGAUAAGCAUGGCUGACAGGUUCAAGAUUGAGAAGUGUUUGAUUAAGUUGAAGGGUUACAUUAAUGUUUUCGUGAAGGUGAUCACUAAGUGCAGUGCCAAAUUCGCCGGGAAGCCGAUGGGGAACCCCGUUGUAGCCGGUAGCCUUUUCGAUGGUUUCCUCAAGAAGGGUGUCCAACUUGGCGGUAACUUCCUCGGAGCCAUCGGCGGUAAUGCCGGAGCCGGAGUCGGAGGUAAUGCCGGAGCCGGAGCCGGAGUCGGAGGCCUUGUUGGAGGCAUGGUCGGAGGCCUUGUUGGAGGCAAGGUCGGAGGUCGUGGCAGAGGCGGCAAGGCCGGAGGCAAAUUCGGAGGUAAGGUCGGAGGCCUUGUUGGAGGCGAGGUCGAAGGUCAUGCUGGAGGCAACGCCGGAGCUCAAGGCGAAGUUAUAGUCGAAGGUAAUGCCGGAGCUGGAGUCGAAGUCGGAGGCCUUGUUGGAGGCAAGGUCGGAGGCCGUGGCAAAGGCAAGGUCGGAGGUCGUGUGGGAGGCAACUUUGGAGCUCAAGGCGAAGUUAAAGUCGGAGGUCAAGCUGGAGCCGGAGGCAAGGUUGGAGGUCAACUAACAGAACAAGAUGAGUCCUAAAAAAAUCAAUAUCAACAUGAUACAACUAAAAUCAAUUUACGUACCUAGAAAGAGAUGAACCUUUUUUAAAAAAAAAAUUUAAAAUAAUAUCAAUUUAAAAAUCAUAUCAGUCAUAGAACUAAAAUGAAAACAACAAUAACUAAACACUAAGUAUAUAACUGAACAUAUAAAAAGGACUAGAGAAAGAAAACAUAUAAACAGGAAAAAGAUCUGAAGACAGCAAAAACUAAGAACUUAAUAUAAUUAAACAUAUAGAAAAAAUGACUGAGAACAUAUGAAUGGAAAAUACAUAUCAUACAAGGAACAAACCAAAAAUGAAGGAAAUUUGAUUUUAUCAUAAGUCCAAAUUUCAAUAACUAACUAUAUACACAAAAUUAUUGAACAUCAGAAAGCGGUUGGUAGGAAACGUUAAUAUUAAAAUUUAUAGAGAUUAAAAAAACACAUUUACUAAAUAUAUAUAAUAUAUUAUAAAACUAAUCGAAAUAAUACAUGAAAAUUAAUACAUGCCAUAAUAUUAUUAACAAGAUUUAACUUUAACGAUCCCAUAAUAUUUAAAGCUUCAAAUGAUAAUUAAUGAAAAUUAAAAUACAAAAAAACGUAAUACCACAUAAAGUUAAAAACUGAGAGCAAGAAAAUAACAUCAGAUAAUUUUAUUAUUCUCAUUUCUAAGUUUCAUGAAUUAUAAAUAUAUUGUAUAAUAUCAAAAUAUGGUACAAAUUAAUUUUUUUUUAAAAAAUCAUACUUCAAAUGUUUAGAAAAAUAUAUAAAUAAUGAAAAUUAUCUAACAAAUAAAAAUUUACAAAAAAUACAAACUUAAACAAAACAACUUAGAAGUAUUAACCGCGCGUAGCGCGGUAAGAAGCUCUAGUUAUUAUAAACAGAGAAAAAAAAGGAAAUGGAUGGUGCCUAUGGUAAAUGGUAAAAAGAUAAUUAAUACAUAAUAUACACAGAAUAUCAUAGUAAAACAUUUGCAAUGGUUAUAAACUUAAUUUCGUUGGUAGUUAUGUAUACAAAUCCUAAUUUCUGUAUGUAUUAACCAUUGUGUGGAUUUUUUUAAAUUGUAUGGAAUUCUUGUUUGGGUCAAUUAGCCAAAUAGCUAAAAUUUGAAGUGAAAUUAAGAGAAUGGCAUUGAUUUUGACGUAAUUGGGUAACUAACAUUUAAGGUCCAUUUGAUCCGGUAAUACCCUUGGUUGGUGCAAGUAACCGGUGAAAGAUAGAAAGUUAGAUGACGUAAACAAAUUGAGGUAUGGCUAAUAUUUAAAUCACAUCUGAGUGAAUAUAAGGAAUCACGUCACAUAUUUAUGACCACAUACAUAUGUUUCAGUGUUCUAUUCCACAUCACCGAAAUAAAACAGAUUUCUAACCUCACUCACAUACUCUAAUACUAAACAUUAUCCCAAAUCUAACCCAUAUAUACUAAACAUUAUCCAAAUCCCACCCCAACCCCUUAAUACUAAACCCUAAACCUUAAUCAAUAAACCCUAAACUCAAAUACAUAACUCUAAACCCAAAUAUAAAUUCUAAACCCAAAUAUAAAUUCUAAACCCAAAUAGAAUGAAACAAAAUAAAUAAUAUGGUAUAUAUUGGUAAAAUUAUGAAAUGUCUAUAAUUUCGUAGAAGAAGUUGAUGUUGAUCCCAACUAUACCUCCUCAUCUUCUAAAUACUAAACCUUAAACUAUAUUCACUAAUUCCUAAACUCAAAUAUAAACCAUAAACCCAAAUAGAAUGUAACAAAAUAAAUAGCAUGGUAUAUAUUGGUGAAAUUAUGAAAUAUCUAUGAUUUCAUGGAAAAGGUUAAUGUGACCCAACUGUACCCAACUAUACCUUAAACUUUAAUCCCUAAACCCUAAAUAUAAACCCUACACGGAAAUAUAAACCCUAAUCCAAUGUCAACCCCAAUCUUUCAUAAACUAAACCCGAAUGGAACAAAAUGAUGAAAUAUCUAUGAUUUCAUGGAAGAAGUUAAUGCUGAUCCCCCAACCAUAUCCCCUCACCUUCUAAAUACUAAACCCUAAAUUAUAUUCACUAAACCCUAAACCAAAAUAUAAACCCUAAACCCAAAUAUAAAUCCUAAACCCAAAUAUCAAAGUCUAAAAAAUUACAUAUAUUAUGUAAAAUUAAAUUAUAUUAUGUAAUAUUAAACUACACAAUCUAGAUCAUAGCACGAUAUUUACUUGUUCAAAAACUA
This 5187-nucleotide long non-coding RNA is filed under the name Brassica napus (rape). Its description in RNAcentral is "long non-coding RNA (BNAP_LNC005508)". The record is from RNAcentral. Lineage: Eukaryota; Viridiplantae; Streptophyta; Magnoliopsida; Brassicales; Brassicaceae.